This 577-nucleotide ribosomal RNA is filed under the name Apiospora sacchari. RNAcentral describes it as "eukaryotic LSU rRNA". The stretch from base 220 to 373 matches the Rfam family "5.8S ribosomal RNA". Lineage: Eukaryota; Fungi; Ascomycota; Sordariomycetes; Amphisphaeriales; Apiosporaceae. The record is from RNAcentral.
GAGUUAAUUCUCGUUGGUGACCAGCGGAGGGAUCAUUACAGAGUUAUACAACUCCCAUACCAUCUGUUAACCUACCCAGUUAUGCCUCGGCGUAAGCUCGGUUGGAGGCACCUGCAGCUACCCUGUAGUUGCGGACUGCCAACUCCAGCCGCGGCCCGCCGGCGGUACACUAAACUCUGUUUUAUUUUAUAUUCUGAGCGUCUUAUUUUAAUAAGUUAAAACUUUCAACAACGGAUCUCUUGGUUCUGGCAUCGAUGAAGAACGCAGCGAAAUGCGAUAAGUAAUGUGAAUUGCAGAAUUCAGUGAAUCAUCAAAUCUUUGAACGCACAUUGCGCCCAUCAGUAUUCUGGUGGGCAUGCCUGUUCGAGCGUCAUUUCAACCCUUAAGCCUAGCUUAGUGUUGGGAAUCUGCUGUACUGCAGUUCCUUAAAGACAGUGGCGGAGCGGCGGUAGUCCUCUGAGCGUAGUAAUUUAUUUCUCGCUUUUGUCAGGCUCUGUCCUCCCGCCAUAAAACCCCCAAUUUUUUAGUGGUUGACCUCGGAUCAGGUAGGAAUACCCGCUGAACUUAAGCAUAUCAA